GUAUAACUAGCCGUGAUGCUUUCUUACUGCUUGCAGAAACGCUGAUUGUAACCGUGUCUGACUCUUGCAGGUGGUUUUGCUGGGUGGGGAUUUAUGUCAGACAAACUUGCAGAACUGAGCCCUCAGUUUGCAAACGUAAGUGAUGACUUUGGGUCAGCGAUGACUGAGGAUUUCACCUGGAGGGCGGCGACCUUCAGUUCAUUGAAAGAAAUUCCAAAGGUGAGCUUCGUGACACUCUGAAGAGAUGCUGGAGGGAAAUAUUGGAGCUUUCCACCAAGGUUGUGAGCCAAGCCAGGUUCCAUCUGUGGGCUCUGCCUCUACUUGGUCACAUCUAUGAGCCACUACUAAGGAUGCAUGAUGGAGUCAUGUCAAGGUGUUAUGGCCAAAGGAUGCAUGACUUCUUCCCUCAGACAUGUGAGUAAAUCACUAGAAGGGCUGCAUGCAAAGUCUGCUGAGGCUUUCACUAGUGGAUCUCUUACCAACAAGGAGGUGAAAUUCCUAACUACAGACUUGUAUUCUUCUGCUACCUGUGCAAACUCCUGCGCUUUGUUACUAAAGCUGUCCAUUCUUCCGUCAGCUUCUCUUCACCUGUUUCUUGUCCUCAAGUUUCCUUUUCCCAGCAUCUAGAUGUGCUCAUUCUCAGCACUGUUUUUCAUCUGGCAAGCCAUCAGUCCUUCCUAGCCUCUCCCAUUGACUUCCCUCUUCAGAAUUGCUCUCUAUUGCACAAAAUCUACCUUAUCAAAGUCACCAGAAUCACAAGUGAAAUGAUAGUUUUUUUAGUUUUUUUGUGUGUAUUAUGG
RNAcentral lists this long non-coding RNA (800 nucleotides) under Coturnix japonica (Japanese quail). RNAcentral describes it as "lncRNA (ENSCJPG00005020777.1)". Lineage: Eukaryota; Metazoa; Chordata; Aves; Galliformes; Phasianidae. The record is from RNAcentral.